AUUGAACGCUGGCGGCAUGCUUUACACAUGCAAGUCGAACGGUAACAGGCCUUCGGGUGCUGACGAGUGGCGGACGGGUGAGUAAUGCAUCGGAACGUACCCAGAGGUGGGGGAUAACGCAGCGAAAGCUGUGCUAAUACCGCAUGUGAUCUGAGGAUGAAAGCGGGGGACCGAGCAGCAAUGUUUGGCCUCGCGCCUUUGGAGCGGCCGAUGUCGGAUUAGCUAGUUGGUGGGGUAAAGGCCUACCAAGGCGACGAUCCGUAGCUGGUCUGAGAGGACGACCAGCCACACUGGGACUGAGACACGGCCCAGACUCCUACGGGAGGCAGCAGUGGGGAAUUUUGGACAAUGGGCGCAAGCCUGAUCCAGCAAUGCCGCGUGCGGGAAGAAGGCCUUCGGGUUGUAAACCGCUUUUGGCAGGAACGAAACGGUGUCCGCUAAUACCGGGCGCUAAUGACGGUACCUGCAGAAUAAGCACCGGCUAACUACGU
Molecule: ribosomal RNA, 491 nt
Filed under: uncultured bacterium
Lineage: Bacteria
Description: partial 16S ribosomal RNA
Rfam family: Bacterial small subunit ribosomal RNA
Source: RNAcentral